Molecule: ribosomal RNA, 552 nt
Filed under: uncultured archaeon
Lineage: Archaea
Description: bacterial SSU rRNA
Rfam family: Archaeal small subunit ribosomal RNA
Source: RNAcentral
CGGGGUGCACCAGGCGCGAAAACUUUACCAUGCCGGCAACGGCGAUAAGGGAACCUCGAGUGCCAGGUUACAAAUCUGGCUGUCGUGAUGCCUAAAAAGCAUUGCAUAGCAAGGGCCGGGCAAGACCGGUGCCAGCCGCCGCGGUAACACCGGCGGCUCGAGUGGUAACCGUUAUUAUUGGGUCUAAAGGGUCUGUAGCCGGCCGGGUAAGUCUCUUGGGAAAUCUGGCAGCUUAACUGUCAGGCUUUCAGGAGAUACUGCCUGGCUCGAGGCCGGGAGAGGUGAGAGGUACUUCAGGGGUAGGGGUGAAAUCUUGUAAUCCUUGAAGGACCACAGUGGCGUAGGCGUCUCACCAGAACGGACCUGACGGCAAGGGACGAAAGCUAGGGGCACGAACCGGAUUAGAUACCCGGGUAGUCCUAGCCGUAAACGAUACUCGCUAGGUGUCGGCCACGGUGCGACCGUGGUCGGUGCCGUAGGGAAGCCGUGAAGCGAGCCACCUGGGAAGUACGGCCGCAAGGCUGAAACUUAAAGGAAUUGGCGGGGGAGCAC